This 728-nucleotide ribosomal RNA is filed under the name uncultured bacterium. RNAcentral's name for it is "bacterial SSU rRNA". It matches the Rfam family "Bacterial small subunit ribosomal RNA", at positions 771 to 1501 of the family's 1533-position model. The record is from RNAcentral.
AACAGGAUUAGAUACCCUGGUAGUCCACGCCGUAAACGAUGAGUGCUAGGUGUUGGGGGUUUCCGCCCUCUGUGCCGAAGGUAACCCAAUAAGCACUCCGCCUGGGGAGUACGGCCGCAAGGCUGAAACUCAAAGGAAUUGACGGGGGCCCGCACAAGCGGUGGAGCAUGUGGUUUAAUUCGAAGCAACGCGAAGAACCUUACCAGGUCUUGACAUCCCGCUGAUCGGUGUAGAGAUAUGCCUUUCCUUCGGGACAGCGGUGACAGGUGGUGCAUGGUUGUCGUCAGCUCGUGUCGUGAGAUGUUGGGUUCAGUCCCGCAACGAGCGCAGCCCUUGUCGUCAGUUGCCAGCACGUAAAGGUGGGCAUUCUGGCGAGACGGCCGGUGAAAGCCGGAGGAAGGUGGGGAUGACGUCAAAUCAUCAUGCCCCUUAUGACCUGGGCUACACACGUGCUACAAUGGCCGGUACAACGGGUAGCGAACCCGCGAGGGGGAGCCAAUCCAAAAAACCGGUCUCAGUUCGGAUCGCAGGCUGCAACUCGCCUGCGUGAAGCUGGAAUCGCUAGUAAUCGCGGAUCAGCAUGCCGCGGUGAAUCCGUUCCCGGGCCUUGUACACACCGCCCGUCACACCACGAGAGUCUGCAACACCCGAAGUCGGUGAGGUAACCUUCAGGAACCAGCCGCCGAAGGUGGGGCAGAUGAUUGGGGUGAAGUCGUAACAAGGUAACC